RNAcentral lists this ribosomal RNA (292 nucleotides) under uncultured Verrucomicrobiota bacterium. RNAcentral describes it as "uncultured Verrucomicrobia bacterium partial 16S ribosomal RNA". The record is from RNAcentral. Lineage: Bacteria; Pseudomonadati; Verrucomicrobiota.
GGACUACCCGGGUUUCUAAUCCCUUUUGCUCCCCACGCUUUCGUGCCUGAGCGUCAGCAAUUGUCCAGGUAGCCGCCUUCGCCUCUGGUAUUCCUCAUGAUAUCUACGCAUUUCACUGCUACACCAUGAAUUCUGCUACCCUCUCCAAUGCUCUAGCCGUGUAGUUUGAGGUGCAAUUCCGGGGUUAAGCCCCGGGCUUUCACGCCUCACACACACGGCCGCCUGCGCACCCUUUACGCCCAGUGAAUCCGAAUAACGCUCGCAGUCUCUGUAUUACCGCGGCUGCUGGCAC